CAGUAGCCGCGGGAAAACGUAGGUGGCAAGCGUUGUCCGGAGUUAUUGGGCGUAAAGCGCGCGCAGGUGGUUUAAUAAGUCUGAUGUGAAAGCCCACGGCUCAACCGUGGAGGGUCAUUGGAAACAGUUAAACUUGAGUGCAGGAGAGAAAAAUGGAAUUCCUAGUGUAGCGGUGAAAUGCGUAGAGAUUAGGAGGAACACCAGUGGCGAAGGCGGCUUUUUGGCCUGUAACUGACACUGAGGCGCGAAAGCGUGGGGAGCAAACAGGAUUAGAUACCCCCGUAGUCCCUGUCUCUUAUAA
RNAcentral lists this ribosomal RNA (301 nucleotides) under uncultured bacterium. RNAcentral describes it as "partial 16S ribosomal RNA". It matches the Rfam family "Bacterial small subunit ribosomal RNA", at positions 509 to 809 of the family's 1533-position model. The record is from RNAcentral.